GACGAACGUUGGCGGCGUGUCUAAGGCAUGCAAGUCGAGCGAAUCAUUAUUUGUAGCAAUACUUGUGAUGGUUAGCGGCAAACGGGUGCGUAACACAUUGGUAAUCUGCCUUCUAGUCGGGCAUAACUCACCGAAAGGUGAGCUAAUUCCACGAUACACUCCACAUGUUAGUAGUGUGAGAGGAAAGCGCAAAACGCGCUAGAAGAGGAGCCUAUGGCCUAUCAGCUUGUUGGUGAGGUAACGGCUCACCAAGGCUAUGACGGGUAGGGGGUGUGAGAGCAUGACCCCCCUCACUGGACGUGAGACACUGCCCACGACACCUACGGGUGGGCGUGCAGUCGAGGAA
This 346-nucleotide ribosomal RNA is filed under the name uncultured bacterium. RNAcentral describes it as "bacterial SSU rRNA". It matches the Rfam family "Bacterial small subunit ribosomal RNA", at positions 28 to 362 of the family's 1533-position model. The record is from RNAcentral.